UACAGAGGGUGCAAGCGUUAAUCGGAUUUACUGGGCGUAAAGCGUGAGUAGGUGGCUCGCUAAGUCGAUUGUGAAAGCCCUGGGCUCAACCUGGGAAUUGCAGUCGAUACUGGAGAGCUCGAGUUCGGUAGAGGGUGACGGAAUUCCCGGUGUAGCGGUGAAAUGCGUAGAUAUCGGGAGGAACAUCGAUGGCGGAGGCAAUCACCUGGGCCUGAACUGACACUGAGACACGAAAGCUAGGGGAGCAAACGGG
RNAcentral lists this ribosomal RNA (253 nucleotides) under uncultured bacterium. RNAcentral describes it as "partial 16S ribosomal RNA". It matches the Rfam family "Bacterial small subunit ribosomal RNA", at positions 524 to 776 of the family's 1533-position model. The record is from RNAcentral.